GGGUGGGGUUAGGCUGGUUGCAUCUAUUUUUCUACUUCAUCUUGACCGUAACUUUACCUGCAGCCAUUACUGUCAUUUUGCAGACGAAGAAAUGAGGCUCAGAGAGGUUGCGUAACCUGCUCACGUGCUCAAGGGAACAAGUGCGGAGCUGGCGGUUUGUGAUGAUGCUGCAUUUCCCAUCAUGUCUGGGAUCAGUGUUUGUAAUAGAUUUGCUUUUAUGCCCGGCUCCUGAAGAGCAUUCUCAUUAUCUGAUAAGAGAAGCUGAUGUCCAGUAGCCUUCUGAGGUAGAUGCAAACCAAGAGUCAACUAAGAACUUAAGAAGUUGUGUAAGGAGCUAUGUGGAAUCGGAAUGACUGCAUUGUCUAGAAACCAACCUAGCUGACUUUCUGAAUGAAUUUGUCUUCAACUAAUUUACUGUUAACCUGUACCCCUAUAGCUAACUAUAUUGCUUACGAGUCCCAGUUAGACUACAUGAAGUCUGCCAAGUUGAAUUUCAUUUCUCUGUCUCAAUUUUUCACUCAUCAUUUCAAGAGAAA
Leptonychotes weddellii (Weddell seal) is the source of this 536-nucleotide non-coding RNA. Lineage: Eukaryota; Metazoa; Chordata; Mammalia; Carnivora; Phocidae. The record is from RefSeq and is a predicted model, not a curated record.